AUGUCCAAGGUAACGGCGCCGGGGCCCGGGCCGCCGGCGGCGGCGGGCGGGAAGGAGAAGCGCUCGUUCAGCAAGCGGCUGUUCCGGAGCGGCCGCGCGGGCGGCGGCGGCGGCGGCGGCGGCGGCGGGGCGGGGGGCCCCGGGCCGGCCGCGCCCUCCUCGGCGCGCUCGGUCGGCAGCUUCAUGAGCCGCGUCCUCAAGACGCUGUCGACGCUGUCGCACCUGAGCUCCGAGGGCGCCGGCCCCGAGCGCGGCGGCCUCCGCAGCUGCUUCCCGCCCGCCGCCGCGCCCGCGCCGCCGCCCUGCCCGCCGCCGCCCGCCGCGCCCGCCGCGCCGCCCGCUUGCGCCUCGGAGCCCGUGCCCGGCGUGGCGGGGCUCCGCAACCACGGCAACACGUGCUUCAUGAACGCCACGCUGCAGUGCCUCAGCAACACCGAGCUCUUCGCCGAGUACCUGGCGCUCGGCCAGUACCGCGCGGGCCGCCCGGAGCCCGAAGCCCAGCCCCAGCCCGAGCCCCAGCCUCCCGCCGCCGGCCGCGGCGGCCAGGGUCAGGGCCAAGGCGAGGUCACCGAGCAGCUGGCGCACCUGGUGCGGGCUCUUUGGACCCUAGAGUACACCCCGCAGCACAGCCGCGACUUCAAGAGUAUUGUGUCAAAGAAUGCACUGCAGUAUCGUGGAAAUUCCCAGCAUGACGCCCAGGAGUUUCUGCUGUGGCUUUUGGACCGAGUUCACGAAGACCUCAAUCAUGCCAUAAAGGAGAGUGGCCAGCCUCCUCUGAAGCCUCCAUCAGAGACAGAUAUGAUGCCCGAGGGACCAUCUUUUCCUGUGUGUAGCACUUUUGUACAAGAACUUUUUCAAGCCCAGUACAGAUCUUCUUUGACAUGUCCUCACUGUCAGAAGCAGAGCAACACUUUUGACCCUUUCCUCUGCAUUUCUUUGCCAAUUCCUCUGCCCCACACAAGGCCUCUCUAUGUCACCGUAGUGUAUCAAGGGAAAUGCUCCCACUGCAUGAGGAUUGGUGUGGCUGUACCUCUGUCUGGGACUGUCGCUAGACUUCGGGAAGCAGUAUCUGUGGAGACAAAGAUCCCCACUGAUCAGAUUGUGUUAACAGAAAUGUACUAUGAUGGGUUCCAUCGUUCCUUUUGUGAUACAGACGACCUGGAGACUGUCCAUGAAAGUGACUGCAUUUUUGCCUUUGAGACUCCAGAAAUAUUUAGGCCUGAAGGAAUUCUCAGUCAAAGAGGCAUUCACUUAAACAAUAAUCUAAACCACUUGAAAUUUGGCCUGGAUCAUCAUAGAUUAUCUUCCCCACUACAAGCAGCAGCCAAGCAGGGGAGGAUGGACUUGCCCAGCUCCCGAACAGGAGGUGACAAGAUUGUCCUGCUGGUGUGCAACCGAGUGUGCACGGGACAGCAAGGGAAGAGGUUUGGACUGCCUUUCGUCCUGCACUUGGAGAAGACAGUGGCAUGGGACCUUUUGCAGAAGGAAAUCCUGGAGAAGAUGAAGUAUUUCUUGAGGCCCUCAGUUUGCAUUCAGGUGUGUCCAUUCAGUUUGCGUGUGGUCAGUGUUGUGGGCAUAACGUACUUGCUGCCCCAGGAAGAGCAGCCCCUGUGCCACCCAACAGUUGAAAGGGCAUUAAAGUCUUGUGGACCAGGCGGCACAGCUCAUGUGAAGUUAGUAGUAGAAUGGGACAAGGAGACAAAAGAUUUCUUGUUCAUAAACACAGAAGAUGAGUAUAUCCCUGACGCGGAGAGCGUCCGUCUGCAGAGGGAGCACCACCAGCAGCCUCAGACCUGCACUUUAUCCCAGUGUUUCCAGCUCUACACCAAAGAGGAGCGGCUUGCCCCGGACGAUGCCUGGCGCUGUCCGCACUGUAAACAGCUGCAGCAGGGGAGCAUCACGCUGAGCCUGUGGACGCUGCCCGACGUCCUCAUCAUCCACCUCAAGAGGUUUCGCCAGGAAGGAGACAGGCGUAUGAAACUUCAGAACAUGGUCAAGUUCCCCUUGACUGGCCUGGACAUGACACCUCAUGUGGUUAAGAGAAGCCAGAGCAGCUGGAGCUUGCCAUCCCAUUGGUCCCCGUGGAGACGGCCCUAUGGACUCGGGAGGGACCCUGAGGACUCCAUCUAUGACCUGUAUGCUGUGUGCAACCACCAUGGCACCAUGCAAGGGGGGCACUACACAGCGUACUGUAAGAACUCUGUGGAUGGCCUCUGGUACUGCUUUGACGAUAGCGAAGUGCAACAGCUGUCAGAAGAUGAAGUGUGCACGCAGACGGCCUAUAUCCUCUUUUACCAGAGGCGGACUGCCAUCCCCUCAUGGUCAGCCAACAGCUCGGUGGCAGGUUCCACAAGUUCCUCCCUGUGCGAGCACUGGGUGAGCCGACUUCCGGGGAGCAAGCCAGCCAGCGUGACCUCUGCGGCCUCCUCCAGACGCACUUCCCUAGCCUCGCUCUCUGAGUCUGUGGAGAUGACCGGGGAGAGGAGCGAAGAUGACGGAGGCUUUUCAACUAGACCAUUCGUGAGAAGCGUCCAGCGUCAGAGCUUGUCAUCCAGAUCUUCCGUCACCAGCCCCUUGGCUGUCAACGAAAACUGCAUGAGACCCUCGUGGUCCCUGUCUGCCAAGCUACAGAUGCGCUCCAGUUCUCCUUCCCGGUUCUCAGGGGACUCCCCGAUUCACGGCUCUGCCUCUACCCUGGAAAGGAUUGGGGAAGCCGGGGACGACAAGGUCUCCAUCUCUUGCUUCGGUAGCUUACGGAACCUGUCCAGCAGCUACCAGGAGCCAAGUGACAGUCAUGGUCGCCGUGAGCACAAGGUUGCAGGCCGGGCCCCGCUGGCUGUCAUGGAAGGUGUGUUCAAAGACGAGUCAGAUGCCCGCAAAUUGAACUCUAGUGUUUUAGAUGCACAGAACAAAAACUUAGCACAAGGGGAUCGCCUGUCCCCCAUCUGCCCCCCAUCUGAUCCAUUUGACAACAACAACCAGAUUGCCUAUGUAGACCAGAGUGAUUCCGUGGACAGCUCUCCCGUCAAAGAGGUGAAGCCCCCAGGCCCCCCAAGCUCCUUCACAAAGAAGCCUGAGAGCACAGCUAGGAGGCCCUCGAGUGGCAGAGGUGCCCCUGAGCCAGAGAGGGGUGUGCGCAAGGGGCGGCCGGCCCUGGCGAGCCAGGACUCAUCUCUCUCAAGUACGUCCCCCUCCUCGCCCGUCCCUGUGAAGGCUUCUCUGAAGCCCUCCCGUUCUCGCAGCAAAGCAGACUCUGCUGCUAGGGCCAGUGGAAGGCACUCAGCCCCUGCGCCGGCCCAGCCCAGAAAGGAGUCAUCCUCCAAGUCCCAGGACUCCGUGUCUUCCCCUUGCGCGCAGAAGCAGAAGCCUUCCUCUGCCCUCGCUCACUCUGCAGCUUCCACAGCUGCCAAAAAAACUUCGGGCCCUGCCCCCAGGGGCACCGUCCCUCCUGGAAAGAGCAGGACUUCAGAUCGGAGCUUAAGCAGAGAGGGCUCCCGCCACAGCCUGGGCUCCGACAGAGCCAGUGUCAUCUCCACCUCCAAACCCACCUCCCCUCGGGUGAGCCAGGCCAGAGCAGGCGAGGGCAGAAGUGAUGGCAAGCACGUGCGAAGCUCCUCCAUGGCCAGCCUGCGCUCGCCCAGUGCCAGCGUGCGCUCCGGCCUGAAGAGGGACAGCAAGUCUGAGGACAAGGGACUGUCCUUCUUCAAGUCGGCCUUGAGACAGAAGGAGACUCGGCGGUCCACUGAUCUGGGCAAGACCACACUGCUCGCCAAAAAGGCUGCUGGGGGCUCUGUCAAGUCAGUGGGUAAGAAUACCCCAGAUGACAAGGCUGAGAAAGACCAGCCUCCAGGCUCCCAGCAGCCAAGCGGGAAUGUGGUCGGUAAAGACCUCACCUCUAAGGACGCUGCUUCUGCUAAGCGUUCCCUGCUGUCCUCCCGCAAACCCAAGUCUUCCCAGCUGGAUUCUGGAGUCCCCUCGUCUCCCAGUGGCAGGCAGGCCUCAGAGAAAGCCUCCAAAAAGUUAGCUUCCAGCAUGCAAAGCUCUGCACGGCCUUCUCAGAAACCUCAGUGACGUUUCUGCACCCCAAGUGUUUUAUCUGUAAAGAUGUUUAUUUAUUUAGAACCCUCUCUCCCACUAAAGCCCUCUCUGCUUUUGUUUUGUAUUUUUUGGUGUGUGUGUGUGUGUGUGUGUGUGUGUGUGUGUGUGUGUGU
RNA transcript from Dipodomys spectabilis (banner-tailed kangaroo rat), 4211 nucleotides. It is a transcript of the gene named ubiquitin specific peptidase 31, with no coding region annotated. NCBI's taxonomy places the organism in Eukaryota, Metazoa, Chordata, Mammalia, Rodentia, Heteromyidae. The transcript is spliced from 17 exons. The record is from RefSeq and is a predicted model, not a curated record.